UAGGGUGUAGCUCAAUGGUAGAGAACUUGCCUAGCAUACAUGAAGCCUUGGGUUCAAUCCCCAACACCACAA
Ictidomys tridecemlineatus (thirteen-lined ground squirrel) is the source of this 72-nucleotide non-coding RNA. The record is from Rfam. NCBI's taxonomy places the organism in Eukaryota, Metazoa, Chordata, Mammalia, Rodentia, Sciuridae.